Molecule: ribosomal RNA, 519 nt
Filed under: uncultured bacterium
Lineage: Bacteria
Description: partial 16S ribosomal RNA
Rfam family: Bacterial small subunit ribosomal RNA
Source: RNAcentral
GACGAACGCUGGCGGCGUGCCUAAUACAUGCAAGUCGAGCGAGCUUGCCUAGAUGAAUUUGGUGCUUGCACCAGAUGACACUAGAUACAAGCGAGCGGCGGACGGGUGAGUAACACGUGGGUCACCUGCCCAAGAGACUGGGAUAACACCUGGAAACAGAUGCUCAUACCGGAUAACAGCACUAGACGCAUGUCUAGAGUUUAAAAGAUGGUUCUGCUAUCACUCUUGGAUGGGCCUGCGGUGCAUUCGCUAGUUGGUAAGGCAACGGCUUACCAAGGCAGUGAUGCAUAGCCGAGUUGUGAGACUGAUAGGCGACAUUGGGACUGAGACACGGCCAAAACUCCUACGGGAGGCAGCAGUAGGGAAUCUUCCGCAAUGGACGCAAGUCUGAUGGAGCAACGCCGCGUGAGUGAAGAAGGGUUUGGGCUCGUAAAGCUCUGUUGGUAGUGAAGAAAGAUAGAGGUAGUAACUGGCCUUUAUUUGACGGUAAUUACUUAGAAAGUCACGGCUAACUACGUG